AAAAAACAGCCUAACGCAACAUGGUUUCUUAGGUUCUUGUUUAAAAAAUUGGUUUCCGAGGUGCAGGAUUUUUUUUAAACGCAGACUUCUGUUCGCUAGGGUCGGGAAGGAGAUGUCGGAAACUAAAAAAAAAAGAAGAUUACCUUGGCAAAAGUAAAAACACGUAAAAAAAAAAACUCAAGAAAAAACCGCAACACAAAAAACCGUCCCGAUAAGAGCUGCUUCUUUUACUUAAAAACUGAAAGAAGAACGUGUUCCAGUUUUUGUUGUUGUGUUGUGAUUUUACUUUGUCUUAAUAAUUCAGACUCUUUUUUUUUUAUUUCCCUUCUUCCAGUGAGCGGCAGUAGUUCUUGCAUAAAUUUCCUUGCGCCAAAGAUGUAAAAACCCCAAUAAUAAAACAGAACCGCCAUGGCACGGCUUGUUUCAUAUCACGGCGAAUAAUUUUUUGUCCUUUUUUUUUUAUUUAUUAACCAAAAACCAAAACAAAAACAAAACUAAUGACGUUGGAGAAAUAAAUU
Molecule: unclassified non-coding RNA, 518 nt
Filed under: Gracilaria sp.
Lineage: Eukaryota; Rhodophyta; Florideophyceae; Gracilariales; Gracilariaceae
Source: RNAcentral